AUACGAAGGGGGCUAGCGUUGUUCGGAUUUACUGGGCGUAAAGCGCACGUAGGCGGCCUUUUAAGUCAGGGGUGAAAUCCCAGAGCUCAACUCUGGAACUGCCUUUGAUACUGGAAGUCUUGAGUAUGGUAGAGGUGAGUGGAAUUCCGAGUGUAGAGGUGAAAUUCGUAGAUAUUCGGAGGAACACCAGUGGCGAAGGCGUCUCACUGUCCCAUUACUAACGCAGAGGUGCGAAAGCGGGGGGAGCAAACAGGAUUAGAUACCCUGGUAGUCCACGCCGUAAACGAUGAAUGUUAGGCGUCGGGGUGUUUACACUUCGGUGGCGCAGCUAACGCAUUAAACAUUCCGCCUGGGGAGUACGGUCGCAAGAUUAAAACUCAAAGGAAUUGACGGGG
This 395-nucleotide ribosomal RNA is filed under the name uncultured bacterium. RNAcentral describes it as "partial 16S ribosomal RNA". It matches the Rfam family "Bacterial small subunit ribosomal RNA", at positions 523 to 918 of the family's 1533-position model. The record is from RNAcentral.